UAUCCUUUGGGAAUAUGAAGGUCAAGUUAAAUAUAUUUCGUGCCUCUGAUCAACCUGCAAAGGAAGUUGAGUGCUUCCUAAUAGACAAAAUGGACGAUCUUGUAGAAGAAACCCUUCCCUAUAUUUUGGCAGAUAACCCUCUGAAAACAUACUUGGCCCAUUUUGACUUUGAUAUAGACAAGGCCAUAGAAGCAGUCAACUUCCUGCCCAACAAUCAGUCUUC
RNAcentral lists this long non-coding RNA (223 nucleotides) under Phoenix dactylifera (date palm). RNAcentral's name for it is "long non-coding RNA (PDAC_LNC014768)". Lineage: Eukaryota; Viridiplantae; Streptophyta; Magnoliopsida; Arecales; Arecaceae. The record is from RNAcentral.